This 253-nucleotide ribosomal RNA is filed under the name uncultured bacterium. Its description in RNAcentral is "partial 16S ribosomal RNA". It matches the Rfam family "Bacterial small subunit ribosomal RNA", at positions 524 to 776 of the family's 1533-position model. The record is from RNAcentral.
UACGUAGGGGGCAAGCGUUGUCCGGAAUCAUUGGGCGUAAAGCGCGUGUAGGCGGCCCGAUAAGUCCGCUGUGAAAGUCCAGGGCUCAACCCUGGAAUGCCGGUGGAUACUGUCGGGCUCGAGUCCGGAAGAGGCGAGUGGAAUUCCUGGUGUAGCGGUGAAGUGCGCAGAUAUCAGGAGGAACACCGAUGGCGAAGGCAGCUCGCUGGGACGGUACUGACGCUGAGACGCGAAAGCGUGGGGAGCAAACAGG